Octopus bimaculoides (California two-spot octopus) is the source of this 759-nucleotide long non-coding RNA. The record is from RefSeq and is a predicted model, not a curated record. NCBI's taxonomy places the organism in Eukaryota, Metazoa, Mollusca, Cephalopoda, Octopoda, Octopodidae.
UGUGUCUAUUAUUUAUUUGAGUCUCUCUUACAGUUGUGAGUUUGUGGAGGUUGAUGAUCAUAUUCAACUGCAAAAAACUGAUGCCUGUGGGGAAACAUGUCUGUCUUGCAUGAAAAACAUGUCUGCUCAAAGGAAAAUAGUACCUUGCUUGGAAACAGGUGAAGGUUAACAACAGGAAGGGUGUGUGACCUGGGAAAAUCUUCCUCAAUAAAUUCUGUCUGACCCAAGCAAGCAUGGAAAGUGGACGUUAAAAAGAUGAUGGCAAUGAAGAUGAUGAUGAUGAUGAUCAAAACAAGUAUCGCGUGACUUCUGUUGAAAGCUGUGAUACAUAGUUCUUCAAAUGGUUCACUGGAUGAAGGAAAAUAAACUCUGUUAUCUAGGUGACAAUUAGUUCGUGAGAUGGGAAUUACUGAUAAUAAAGGGUAUUUGGGAUAAAUAUGACAAUUUUUUUUAUGUCUUCCUUUUUUCAGGAACAGCUUGAUGUUGUGGUGAACAGUCAACAAUGUUGGAGAGCAUAAAGAUUAAAGUUGUAAUUGAGAAAAAGUUCGCUAAUGUGGAGGACUGGAAUCUAUUUGAAUAUUGGAAAAGCCUUACUUGUAUCAUGAUGAUUCACAUCUGGUAUCAAAUUGCCAACAUCAUGGCUCAAUGCUCAGUGAACACUAUAAAGACUAUAAGACAUGACAUGGACAAUAUGGAAACCAAGUUCCCCAAAAUCCAAGGUGAAAUACUACUAAGCAUUUCAUCCAGUGCGCUAAAGAU